This is a non-coding RNA of Acanthosepion pharaonis, 103 nucleotides long. Lineage: Eukaryota; Metazoa; Mollusca; Cephalopoda; Sepiida; Sepiidae. The record is from the annotation of a GenBank genome assembly.
ACCACAUUGAAACAUUGGUCCCUGUUCGAUCAGCGAAGUUAAGCAACAUCGAGUUUGGUCAGUACAUAGAUGGGUGACCGCUUGGGAAUACCAGGUGCUGUAA